RNAcentral lists this ribosomal RNA (385 nucleotides) under uncultured bacterium. RNAcentral describes it as "bacterial SSU rRNA". It matches the Rfam family "Bacterial small subunit ribosomal RNA", at positions 30 to 425 of the family's 1533-position model. The record is from RNAcentral.
AUUGAACGCUGGCGGCAUGCCUUACACAUGCAAGUCGAACGGGCGUAGCAAUACGCUAGUGGCGAACGGGUGAGUAAAGCAUCGGAACGUACCCAGUCGUGGGGGAUAACGUAGCGAAAGUUACGCUAAUACCGCAUACGUCCUGAGGGAGAAAGCGGGGGACCGUAAGGCCUCGCGCGAUUGGAGCGGCCGAUGUCAGAUUAGCUAGUUGGUAGGGUAAAAGCCUACCAAGGCGACGAUCUGUAGCUGGUCUGAGAGGACGACCAGCCACACUGGGACUGAGACACGGCCCAGACUCCUACGGGAGGCAGCAGUGGGGAAUUUUGGACAAUGGGGGAAACCCUGAUCCAGCCAUGCCGCGUGAGUGAAGAAGGCCUUCGGGUUG